RNAcentral lists this long non-coding RNA (923 nucleotides) under Salmo salar (Atlantic salmon). RNAcentral's name for it is "lncRNA (ENSSSAG00000087167.1)". The record is from RNAcentral. Lineage: Eukaryota; Metazoa; Chordata; Actinopteri; Salmoniformes; Salmonidae.
CAAACAGGUUAAAUACUCCAAGCAAACAUGUUAAACACACCAACCUAACAGGUUAAACACACCAACCUAACAGGUUACACACACCAAGCUAACAGGUUACACACACAAAGCAAACGGUACCCACACCAUGCUAACAGGUUACACAUAGCAAGCUAACAGGUUUUGCAGAGACCAAACAAAUAGAUUACACACCAAGCUAAUAUGGUACACACAACAAGGUAACAGGUUACACACACCAAGCUAACAGGGUACACACACCAAGCUAUUAGUUUAACACACUAAGCGAACAUGUUACACACACCAAGCUAACAGCGUACACACACCGAGCUAACAGGUUUUCGCAGAGACCAAACGAACAGGUUACACACACAAAGCUAACAGGUUACACACACCAGGCUAACAGGUUACACACAGCAAGCUAACAGGUUACACACACCAAGCUAACAGGUUACACACACCAAGCUAACAGUUUACACACACCAAGCUACCAGGUUACACACACCAAGCUACCAGGUUACACACACCAAGCUACCAAGUUACACACACCAAGCUAACAAGUUACACACACCAAGCUACCAGGUUACACACACCAAGCUACCAGGUUACACACACCAAGCUAACAGGUUACACACACCAUGCUAACAGGUUACACACACCAUGCUAACAGAUAACACACACAAAGCUAACAGGUUACACACACCAAGCUAACAGGUUAGACACACCAAACUACCAAGUUACACUCACCAAGCUAACAGGUUACACACACCAAGCUAACAGGUUACACACACCAAGAUAAUAGCACUCCAAGCUAACAGGUUACACACACAAGAUAACAGGUUACACACACAAGGCUAACAGGUUACACACACACCAGGCUAACAGGUUACACAGCAGGGGUUGGAAAUGAAAGUAUUUUCAUUCUG